GAUGAACGCUGGCGGCGUGCCUAAUACAUGCCAGUCGAGCGAACGGACGAGAAGCUUGCUUCUCUGAUGUUAGCGGCGGACGGGUGAGUAACACGUGGAUAACCUACCUAUAAGACUGGGAUAACUUCGGGAAACCGGAGCUAAUACCGGAUGAUAUUUUGAACCGCAUGGUUCAAAAGUGAAAGACGGUCUUGCUGUCACUUAUAGAUGGAUCCGCGCUGCAUUAGCUAGUUGGUAAGGUAACGGCUUACCAAGGCAACGAUGCAUAGCCGACCUGAGAGGGUGAUCGGCCACACUGGAACUGAGACACGGUCCAGACUCCGACGGGAGGCAGCAGUAGGGAAUCUUCCGCAAUGGGCGAAAGCCUGACGGAGCAACGCCGCGUGAGUGAUGAAGGUCUUCGGAUCGUAAAACUCUGUUAUUAGGGAAGAACAUAUGUGUAAGUAACUGUGCACAUCUUGACGGUACCUAAUCAGAAAGCCACGGCUAACUACGUG
This 497-nucleotide ribosomal RNA is filed under the name uncultured bacterium. RNAcentral's name for it is "partial 16S ribosomal RNA". It matches the Rfam family "Bacterial small subunit ribosomal RNA", at positions 28 to 507 of the family's 1533-position model. The record is from RNAcentral.